Molecule: ribosomal RNA, 279 nt
Filed under: uncultured bacterium
Lineage: Bacteria
Description: partial 16S ribosomal RNA
Rfam family: Bacterial small subunit ribosomal RNA
Source: RNAcentral
UGCCAGCCGCCGCGGUAAUACAUAUGUGGCGAGCGUUGUUCGGAAUUAUUGGGCAUAAAGCGUCUGUAGGCGGUUAUAUCAGUCGGUUGUGAAAGCCCUCAGCUCACCUGAGGAAUUGCAGCCGAUACUAUAUAACUGGAGUCCCUGAGGGGAAAGUGGAAUUCAAGGUGUAGCGGUGAAAUGCGUAGAUAUCUUGGAGAAGGCCAAAGGCGAAGGCAACUUUCUGGUAGGUGACUGACGCUGAGAGACGAAAGCUAGGGUAGCGAACGGGAUUAGAUA